This 427-nucleotide ribosomal RNA is filed under the name uncultured prokaryote. Its description in RNAcentral is "bacterial SSU rRNA". It matches the Rfam family "Bacterial small subunit ribosomal RNA", at positions 355 to 774 of the family's 1533-position model. The record is from RNAcentral.
UCGAGAAUAUUUCGCAAUGGGCGAAAGCCUGACGAAGCGACGCCGUGUGGAUGAAGAAGGCCUUCGGGUUGUAAAAUCCUGUCAUUUGGGAGCAAAUAGCGAGAGUGAAUAAAAUUCGCUAAUGAGAGUACCAGAGAAGGAAGCACUGGCUAACUCCGUGCCAGCAGCUGCGGUAAUACGGAGGGUGCAAGCGUUAGUCGGAAUAACUGGGCGUAAAGGGUGCGUAGGCGGGCUUAUAAGUUAUGUGUGAAAUUACGGGGCUUAACCCUGUAGCUGCAUAUAAGACUGUAAGUCUAGAGGAAUGGUGGGGAAAGCGGAAUUCCACAUGUAGCGGUGAAAUGCGUAGAUAUGUGGAAGAACACCUGUGGCGAAAGCGGCUUUCUAACCUAAUCCAGACGCUGAGGCACGAAAGCAAGGGGAUCAAACA